CCUACGGGUGGCAGCAGUGAGGAAUAGUGGUCAAUGGCCGGAAGGCUGAACCAGCCAUGCCGCGUGAAGGUCAGUGCCCUAUGGGCGUUAAACUUCUUUUGUGCGGGAGCAAUAAUGGUCACGUGUGGCCAGACGAGAGUAGCGUACGAAUAAGCAUCGGCGAACUCCGUGCCAGCAGCCGCGGUCAUACGGGGUAUGCAAGCGUUAUCCGGAUUUCUUGGGGUUAAAGGGUGCGUAGGCUGUGCGGGAAGUCAGCGGUGAAUUGUCCCCGCUCAACGGGGUGAAGUGCCAUUGAUACGGCCGUGCUGGACUGCGCAUGCCUUUGGAGGACUGUGUGGUGUAGCGGUGAAAUGC
RNAcentral lists this ribosomal RNA (354 nucleotides) under uncultured bacterium. Its description in RNAcentral is "partial 16S ribosomal RNA". It matches the Rfam family "Bacterial small subunit ribosomal RNA", at positions 338 to 689 of the family's 1533-position model. The record is from RNAcentral.